GAGUAUCUUAUAUUUAUUACAACUACAUACCUCUGCUUAGAUAAUGGUAUAAUUGUUAUUUUAUAUGCUUUAUGAUGUAAUGAAAUUAUCAGGGAGUUCUAUUAUUACACACUGUAUUCAUGAGGUAAUAGUGUUGCUAACCAGAAAAAUUGAUGCUUUCACCUCUUCACACUUGUUCAGAUCCACGUCUAACUGACUAUAAGACACUGUUGGAAAAUGUUCAAGGUCUAAAGGAAGGGAGGUCAGUUCAGGUUCCAAUCUAUGAUUUCAAGUUGAGCUAUCGGAUUGGGUAUAGGUAAAUAAUCACUGUCAUCUUCCAGUAUUACAAAGGUAUUUAUGCAUUGAGUAGAAGUUACGGUCUGUGCUGGACUUGCGUGUUUCUAUCACUGGUGGUGUUCAAUUAGACCUGGUGAAGAGGGUUUUACGGGACAUACAGCGAGCUGGCUACGAGCCUGACGAAAUAAUUCAUUAGAUCUCAGAAACGGUUUAUCCAAUGUACAAGGCUUUCAUUGCGCCAUAUUUGGAGACUGCACAUAUAAAAAUUAGGAACAAUUUCAACUCAUUCACAUAGUAAGAUGACUUCGCGGCGACAGCGCCAGGUCGUGCG
This is a long non-coding RNA of Phragmites australis (common reed), 607 nucleotides long. RefSeq lists it as uncharacterized. The transcript has 3 exons. NCBI's taxonomy places the organism in Eukaryota, Viridiplantae, Streptophyta, Magnoliopsida, Poales, Poaceae. The record is from RefSeq and is a predicted model, not a curated record.